GGGUUCAGAGAUCUUUACUCGUUUAAUCUUGCUAUGCUGGCCAAACAAUGUUGGAGGCUUAUCACAAAACCUGACUCCCUGUGUGCAAAGGUAUUGAAAGCAAAAUAUUAUCCAAAUGGUAGUUUGCUCCAGGCAAGCUUAAAAAAUGGAGCUUCCUUCACGUGGCAGAGUAUCAUGAAAGGGCUGGAGAUGUUCAAAAAGGGAUACAUUUGGAGGAUUGGAACGGGAGAGGAUGUUAACAUAUGGAAUGACCCAGGGAUUCCAUCAAGUCCGGACCGGAAAAUAAUUACAUCCAGAGGGCAUACGGUGUUAACCAGUGUAAAUGAUCUUAUUGACCCACAUACUGGUUCUUGGGAUGAAGAGCUCAUAAGGACUAUUUUUAAUCCAGUUGAUGUCCGCAGGAUUCUACAAAUCCCGUUGGGCAACCAAGGAUUCGAUGAUUUUAUAGCCUGGCAUGUAGAUAGAAGAGGUAUUUUUACCGUUUGCUCGGCAUAUCAUUUACAGUGGUUGUAUACUUAUCGAGCCCAUGCAAAUACCUUAGCUCGUCCGAGCGGCUCUAACAUACCGGCGGUGUGGAGUACAUUGUGGAAGAUUAAGGUCCCACGUAAAGUAUCAAUUUUUGGAUGGCGUAUGCUUCACGGGAUUAUUCCCCUAAAAGUUAUAUUGGUGAAUCGGCACAUAGGUACAAUUGGGUCCUGUCCUAUAUACCAUCAACAUGCAGAAGAUCAACAUCUCUUUUUUCAAUGUAUGCAUGCGAAGGGUUUGUGGCAAAGUUUAGGCCUAAGUGAUAUGAUUGCCACAUCAAUUAUUGUGGAUCGUUCAGGGUCAGAUGUCCUGGAACAUAUUCUAUUACUGCCUAAUACACCACUACAGAUCAUGCCUUCUUUGGACAUUAAGCAGGUGAUUCUGGUUGGCUGUUGGUACCUUUGGUGGACUCGUCGACGGAUCACUCACAAUGAAGCGUACCCGCCACCAGAAAGAUGGCAUCUAUCUGUACUAGCUAUUGCAUCUAAUUUUCAGAGAUCCAAUACGAAGAAUAUGUCUACACUGGAGCAUAAGUGGACUCGGCCAGAACCAAAAUUUGUCAAAGUAAAUGUUGAUGCUGCUUUCUUUGCAGAUGAUGGAGCUCGUGCAACCGCGGCAAUAAUACGAGAUGAGAGGGGAACUUUUCUAGCAGGUUACUGCCGAUAUAUCCCCUUUAAUUUGCAGCGGAUGCGGUUACCACUGAAAUGA
This 1233-nucleotide ribosomal RNA is filed under the name Triticum aestivum (bread wheat). Its description in RNAcentral is "partial small subunit ribosomal RNA". The record is from RNAcentral. Lineage: Eukaryota; Viridiplantae; Streptophyta; Magnoliopsida; Poales; Poaceae.